Molecule: long non-coding RNA, 1243 nt
Organism: Cyprinus carpio (common carp)
Lineage: Eukaryota; Metazoa; Chordata; Actinopteri; Cypriniformes; Cyprinidae
Source: Ensembl
UGCUUAGUAUUGUGCAUCAUCACCUUGAACGUUUCAUUGCUGUCACUAAGCUAUCACUAGCUAGCUAGUUACUUUGCUAGUUUGCUACGUAUUACUAACAAACGUAACUUCACUGAUAACCUACAUGGAUGUAAAUGUCAAAAGACCAGUAGUUCGGAUAACGUAUGCAUGCUAGUUAUGAAAAGUACAGUUGCUCUCUACUCUACAUUCAUUAUAACUAGCAGGCUCAUACACACACAGUAACCAUUAUGCUGAUAGUUGUGUUGACGUGGUGUUCACCCUUCUGUACAGUUCUCAUCUAGGAAUAUACUAAAAUAUGUUUUUUUUUUUUUUUUAAUUGGCCAUGGCCAGAUGCACUCAGGAAAUUUUUGCAGAGGCCGUAAUAUAUAAUGUGAUGUGAUUAUAUAUAACUUUUAUAAUCACAUCACAUUAAUACUACUUAUUGUAAUCAGUAGUAUUAUUUAGCCUUGUAGCAGCCUAAUAGAUUAGUAAUAAUAGUAGUGGUGGUAGAACUUGUAAUUUAUCUACUACAAGUUACAUGGUCAGAGAUAAAAUGUAUUUGUACAAUGCAACUAUGUGGUAGGAUGAUAGAAAUGACCAAUGCAAUUGUGUAACAAACAGCAUGGAUGUGUUUAAAUACAUACAGCUGCAGGAGUAGGGACAUCCAGUAGUGGUACUCCAGGGACCAGUGACACACAGGCCAGGAACACACAGCCUGCAUCAAGUGAGUCUAUUUAAUAGUAUUUAUUCAAGCCACAUCCAUACUUUAAAGAACAACAGAAAAAGGUUAGCAUGUAUUAAAAUACAAUAGCUUGUUUUCUUAAAGAAGUUCAACCACAUUCAUCAUUUCACUCACUGCUUGUCUGGCUAUACAAUAUGCUUGUAUACAGGUGAAGGUGAAGGGACACCCAGGACCACAUCAAGCACUCAGGGCACCAGUGAAAGACAGACGACUGAGACCAGGGACACGCAGCCUGAAUGAAGUUAGCCCUUUGAAUAGCUAAUUCAAGCUUACAACCAUCUGACAAUAUGUACUAGAAGAUAAUGAAAACACAUGGAAAUCACAAUAACAUCCCAUCCCUAUGAAUUUAAUUUCAAUCACAGUUUUAGUAAUUUUCACUAAUUUAAUUUAACACCACUGAUCUGGCUGUUGCAGGUGAAGGGGCCACAUUUAGCAUUCCAGGCCCCAGUGAAACACAGACCACUGAGACCAGGGAUACUCAGCCUGAAGCAAGUAAGACCC